AUUGAACGCUGGCGGCAUGCUUUACACAUGCAAGUCGAACGGUAACAGGGAGCUUGCUCCGCUGACGAGUGGCGAACGGGUGAGUAAUGCAUCGGAACGUGCCGUGUAGUGGGGGAUAACGUAGCGAAAGUUACGCUAAUACCGCAUACGCCCCGAGGGGGAAAGUGGGGGACCGCAAGGCCUCACGCUAUACGAGCGGCCGAUGUCGGAUUAGCUAGUUGGUAGGGUAAAGGCCUACCAAGGCGACGAUCCGUAGCGGGUCUGAGAGGAUGAUCCGCCACACUGGGACUGAGACACGGCCCAGACUCCUACGGGAGGCAGCAGUGGGGAAUUUUGGACAAUGGGCGCAAGCCUGAUCCAGCCAUGCCGCGUGAGUGAAGAAGGCCUCGGUUGUAAGGUAC
This 401-nucleotide ribosomal RNA is filed under the name uncultured bacterium. Its description in RNAcentral is "bacterial SSU rRNA". It matches the Rfam family "Bacterial small subunit ribosomal RNA", at positions 29 to 433 of the family's 1533-position model. The record is from RNAcentral.